GACAGAGGAUGCAAGCGUUAUCCGGAAUGAUUGGGCGUAAAGCGUCUGUAGGUGGUUUGACAAGUCUCCUGUCAAAGAUCAGGGCUUAACCCUGGGCCGGCAGGAGAAACUAUCAGGCUAGAGUUCGGUAGGGGCAGAGGGAAUUCCCGGUGGAGCGGUGAAAUGCGUAGAGAUCGGGAGGAACACCAAAGGCGAAAGCACUCUGCUGGGCCGUUUUUUGCUUGCAAAAAUAACUGACACUGAGAGACGAAAGCGAGGGGAGCAAAUGGGAUUAGAUACCCCAGUAGUCCUCGCCGUAAACGAUGGAUACUAGGUGUUGGAUGUCUUCAAAUCAUUCAGUACCGUAGCUAACGCGUGAAGUAUCCCGCCUGGGGAGUAUGCUCGCAAGAGUGAA
Molecule: ribosomal RNA, 394 nt
Filed under: uncultured bacterium
Lineage: Bacteria
Description: bacterial SSU rRNA
Rfam family: Bacterial small subunit ribosomal RNA
Source: RNAcentral